Molecule: long non-coding RNA, 312 nt
Filed under: Bos taurus (domestic cattle)
Lineage: Eukaryota; Metazoa; Chordata; Mammalia; Artiodactyla; Bovidae
Description: long non-coding RNA NONBTAT002989
Source: RNAcentral
CGUCAAAGAAGUAAGUAUAUUAUAUCAGAAUGGUCCUUAUCCAGAAAGGGUGUUUAUAACUUUAUAUUAAUUAUGUUGACAUAUACACACACUCAUAUUUUUAUAAACAUUUACAUUGCUCAUUUUUCUAUAGACUCGUGAAAACUUCAAUACAGAUCAAAUAAUCCCUAACCCCUUAAUAUAGCAACAAUAGUCAGCAUUUUGUUUGUUUGUUUUUUAAAGAAAAAUACAUUAUCAGGGUGGCAGGGUCAAAGGAGCUGUUUCUUGUCAUCUAUGGAAGGGUCCCGGCCCUUGAAGACCUCCCUGAGGAGC